UUUAAAUAUUAUGGUGACACCGCGUUGAAAUGCGAUCUCGAUAUUUUGAUUAUACACGUGUAAGAAAAGGAAGAUAGAAGGAAAUUAUAAUUUUUACACGUGUCGAAAGAAUUAAUUUUAAAAUAUGAAAAUUUGAGGGAGGUGUAUUAAAUAAAAUGAAGUUAAGGCAUAAUAUGUAAAUUUUAUUGUUUUGAAGAAAUAAAAAUAAAAUGAAAAUAAAAUGGGUGAUAAAAUAAUGAAGAAAAGAUGUUGAAAAGUCAAAUAAUAUUUUUAUAUGUACAUGAGUUAAGAAUGGUGUGAAUGUGGUUUGAAUGGGAAUGAUGUGGUUUUGAUGGGAAUGAAGAAAAGUCAAAGUCAUUUAGAAGAAUACUAAAUUGGAACCAAGUGAAAUGGGUGGCCGGCCAAGUGAAUGGAG
This 415-nucleotide long non-coding RNA is filed under the name Theobroma cacao (cacao). RNAcentral describes it as "long non-coding RNA (TCAC_LNC005779)". The record is from RNAcentral. Lineage: Eukaryota; Viridiplantae; Streptophyta; Magnoliopsida; Malvales; Malvaceae.